AUUGAACGCUGGCGGCAGGCCUAACACAUGCAAGUCGAACGAGUGGCGGACGGGUGAGUAAUGUCUGGGAAACUGCCUGCUGGAGGGGGAUAACUACUGGAAACGGUAGCUAAUACCGCAUACCAUCGGAUGUGCCCAGAUGGGAUUAGCUAGUAGGUGGGGUAAAGGCUCACCUAGGCGACGCUCCCUAGCUGGUCUGAGAGGAUGACCAGCGACACUGGAACUGGGGCACGGUCCAGAGUGCUAGGGGAGGCAGCAGUGGGGAAGAGUGCACAGUGGGGGGAAGCGUGAUGCAGCCAUGCCGCGGGUAUGAGGAAGGCCUUGGGGUUGUAAAGUACUUGCAGCGGGGAGGCGUUACCCGCAGAAGAAGCACCGGCUAACUCCGUGCCAGCAGGCGCGGUAAUUC
Molecule: ribosomal RNA, 406 nt
Filed under: uncultured bacterium
Lineage: Bacteria
Description: partial 16S ribosomal RNA
Rfam family: Bacterial small subunit ribosomal RNA
Source: RNAcentral